UGGGGAAUAUUGCACAAUGGGCGCAAGCCUGAUGCAGCCAUGCCGCGUGUGUGAAGAAGGCCUUCGGGUUGUAAAGCACUUUCAGCCGGGAGGAAGGCGUUAAGGUUAAUAACCUUGGCGAUUGACGUUACCCGCAGAAGAAGCACCGGCUAACUCCGUGCCAGCAGCCGCGGUAAUACGGAGGGUGCAAGCGUUAAUCGGAAUUACUGGGCGUAAAGCGCACGCAGGCGGUCUGUCAAGUCGGAUGUGAAAUCCCCGGGCUCAACCUGGGAACUGCAUUCGAAACUGGCAGGCUAGAGUCUUGUAGAGGGGGGUAGAAUUCCAGGUGUAGCGGUGAAAUGCGUAGAGAUCUGGAGGAAUACCGGUGGCGAAGGCGGCCCCCUGGACAAAGACUGACGCUCAGGUGCGAAAGCGUGGGGAGCAAACAGG
RNAcentral lists this ribosomal RNA (429 nucleotides) under Chloroflexota bacterium. RNAcentral's name for it is "Chloroflexi bacterium partial 16S ribosomal RNA". It matches the Rfam family "Bacterial small subunit ribosomal RNA", at positions 355 to 776 of the family's 1533-position model. The record is from RNAcentral. Lineage: Bacteria; Bacillati; Chloroflexota.